UCGGGAAUUUUGGGCAAUGGGCGCAAGCCUGACCCAGCAACGCCGCGUGAGGGAUGAAGGCCUUCGGGUCGUAAACCUCUGUCGGGAGGGAAGAAAGGUCUCCGCGCAAAUAGUUCGGGGGCUUGACGGUACCUCCAAAGGAAGCGCCGGCUAACUCCGUGCCAGCAGCCGCGGUAAUACGGAGGGCGCAAGCGUUGUUCGGAAUCACUGGGCGUAAAGCGCGUGUAGGCGGCCUGGCAAGUCGGUUGUGAAAGCCCGAGGCCCAACCUCGGAACUGCACCCGAAACUGCCUGGCUAGAGUCCCGGAGAGGGUGGCGGAAUUUCCGGUGUAGAGGUGAAAUUCGUAGAUAUCGGAAGGAACACCAGCGGCGAAGGCGGCCACCUGGACGGUGACUGACGCUGAGACGCGAAAGCGUGGGUAGCGAACAGGAUUAGAUACCCCCGUAGUCC
This 450-nucleotide ribosomal RNA is filed under the name uncultured prokaryote. RNAcentral's name for it is "bacterial SSU rRNA". It matches the Rfam family "Bacterial small subunit ribosomal RNA", at positions 355 to 796 of the family's 1533-position model. The record is from RNAcentral.